This 468-nucleotide ribosomal RNA is filed under the name uncultured bacterium. RNAcentral describes it as "partial 16S ribosomal RNA". It matches the Rfam family "Bacterial small subunit ribosomal RNA", at positions 28 to 507 of the family's 1533-position model. The record is from RNAcentral.
GAUGAACGCUGGCGGCGUGCUUAACACAUGCAAGUCGAACGGUGAAGGCGGAGCUUGCUCUGCUGGAUCAGUGGCGAACGGGUGAGUAACACGUGAGCAAUCUGCCCCUGACUCUGGGAUAAGCGCUGGAAACGGCGUCUAAUACUGGAUACGAGCUGCGAAGGCAUCUUCAGCAGCUGGAAAGAACUUCGGUCAGGGAUGAGCUCGCGGCCUAUCAGCUUGUUGGUGAGGUAACGGCUCACCAAGGCGUCGACGGGUAGCCGGCCUGAGAGGGUGACCGGCCACACUGGGACUGAGACACGGCCCAGACUCCUACGGGAGGAAGCAGUGGGGAAUAUUGCACAAUGGGCGAAAGCCUGAUGCAGCAACGCCGCGUGGGGGACGACGGCCUUCGGGUUGUAAACCUCUUUUAGCAGGGAAGAAGCGAAAGUGACGGUACCUGCAGAAAAAGCGCCGGCUAACUACGUG